Long non-coding RNA from Myotis daubentonii (Daubenton's bat), 1351 nucleotides. RefSeq lists it as uncharacterized. The transcript is spliced from 2 exons. The record is from RefSeq and is a predicted model, not a curated record. NCBI's taxonomy places the organism in Eukaryota, Metazoa, Chordata, Mammalia, Chiroptera, Vespertilionidae.
GUGGGGGCCACGGAACAGAAGACGACCACCACCUAAGGGCUUAACAAAAGAAUCACCGUUAACAAACCUCCAGCUGCUUUUACUGAAACACAUUGCCAUGCAGGGCCAGCAGGCAAAUGUUUGCGAUGUCUUUCACAGUGAUUGGUCCAGGGGCUGUCUUGGGUUUUGCAGGUUGACGCUCAACCACUGAGCCACACUGGUCAGUCGUCAUUCUCAUUUUUAUAGCCCCAGUAUGAAGACUCACCUCUCUGGAGCAGCUCUAUUCAACGCAGCUUUCUGCGAUGAUGGACAUCUGUGCGCUACGGUUUAUUUGCCACUGGCUGCCUGUGGCUAUUGAGCGCUUGGGAUGUGGCCAGUGGGCUGAGGAACUGAGUUUUAAAUUUUAUCUCAUUUUAAUUAUUUGAAGUUUAAAUAGGCACCGUGGUAAGUGGCAACCACAUUGGACGGCACCGCUGGUCUGGAGUCUCACGUUCAGGUGACAGGCAAGCAGGUGACUGUGCAGCUCAGCCACGCCAACCCACGUGUGGCUCCAGGGAAACGUGGCUGGAAGCGUCACGGCUCACAGCAGGGGGAGUGAUCUGCGGGGAGCCUGGAAGUUGAAGUUCUGCCUGCCACGCUUGCUAAUUCCAGCUCUUUUGCAUGUGGCACAGUUGGUGAUGGUCAGUGGGAAGCCCACAUCUUAGAAAAACUCCUCACAAAGUUACCCAUUGGGCCCAAGUCCUGGGAAGGAGCUAGAACAAAAUCUGUUGGAGCUGAAAGGGGUUUCGGUGACCACACACGGCGAUGGGGUUCACAAUGGUACUGUCCUCUGAAAGGCACUGUGGCAUUAGCUACCAGAGUUACAGGUACAUUUCCCCUCACCCAGCAAUCCCACAUCUCGGGAUUCACCCCACAGAGAAACCUGCAAACUCACGCUAACACUAGUGCAAACUAAUACAGGGGACACUGCCGUGGGGAGGGGAGUGUGGGAAAUCUGUACCACCUGCUGUUUUUGUACUGUUUUAAAAAUUAAGUCUAUUAAUUAAACAAAGAAAUCCCACAAACUAAGUUUUGAAAAGAAAGAGGCUUUGAAACCAGCCCAUGUUACAGGCAGUAACCUGGGAUGAGAGGUGUGUCUUGUAGAGGCCACACAGCUCACAUGGGUCAGACCCCGGCAUAGCAGGCAGCCUCCGUGCCGUGGCCCCGUCCUCCGCAUGGAAAACCCUCCUCUUCCAUCUCCCACUUGGGAAAGGUACUUUGUACCACAUGAGACGUAGAUCAUUUAUCUGAAUGGAUUUUGCACAAUGAAUUUUGUAUUUUUUUGAGACAAAAAUAGCAAGUUCUUAAAAUAAAAUUGAAAUGUUGAAACAUC